RNAcentral lists this ribosomal RNA (876 nucleotides) under uncultured bacterium. RNAcentral describes it as "bacterial SSU rRNA". It matches the Rfam family "Bacterial small subunit ribosomal RNA", at positions 9 to 873 of the family's 1533-position model. The record is from RNAcentral.
AGAGUUUGAUGGUGGCUCAGAUUGAACGCUGGCGGCAUGCUUUACACAUGCAAGUCGGACGGCAGCACAGAGAAGCUUGCUUCUUGGGUGGCGAGUGGCGAACGGGUGAGUAAUAUAUCGGAACGUACCGAGUAAUGGGGGAUAACUAAUCGAAAGAUUAGCUAAUACCGCAUAUUCUCUGAGGAGGAAAGCAGGGGACCUUCGGGCCUUGCGUUAUUCGAGCGGCCGAUAUCUGAUUAGCUAGUUGGUGGGGUAAAGGCCUACCAAGGCGACGAUCAGUAGCGGGUCUGAGAGGAUGAUCCGCCACACUGGGACUGAGACACGACCCAGACUCCUACGGGAGGCAGCAGUGGGGAAUUUUGGACAAUGGGCGCAAGCCUGAUCCAGCCAUGCCGCGUGUCUGAAGAAGGCCUUCGGGUUGUAAAGGACUUUUGUCAGGGAAGAAAAGGCUGUCGCUAAUACCGACAGUUGAUGACGGUACCUGGAGAAUAAGCACCGGCUAACUACGUGCCAGCAGCCGCGGUAAUACGUAGGGUGCGAGCGUUAAUCGGAAUUACUGGGCGUAAAGCGAGCGCAGACGGUUACUUAAGCAGGAUGUGAAAUUCCCGGGCUCAACCUGGGAACUGCGUUCUGAACUGGGUGACUAGAGUGUGUCAGAGGGAGGUAGAAUUCCACGUGUAGCAGUGAAAUGCGUAGAGAUGUGGAGGAAUACCGAUGGCGAAGGCAGCCUCCUGGGAUAACACUGACGUUCAUGCUCGAAAGCGUGGGUAGCAAACAGGAUUAGAUACCCUGGUAGUCCACGCCCUAAACGAUGUCAAUUAGCUGUUGGGCAACUUGAUUGCUUAGUAGCGUAGCUAACGCGUGAAAUGACCGCCU